This 253-nucleotide ribosomal RNA is filed under the name uncultured bacterium. RNAcentral's name for it is "partial 16S ribosomal RNA". It matches the Rfam family "Bacterial small subunit ribosomal RNA", at positions 524 to 776 of the family's 1533-position model. The record is from RNAcentral.
UACGUAGGGUGCGAGCGUUAAUCGGAAUUACUGGGCGUAAAGCGUGCGCAGGCGGCUUUGUAAGACAGGCGUGAAAUCCCCGGGCUUAACCUGGGAACUGCGCUUGUGACUGCAAAGCUAGAGUGUGGCAGAGGGGGGUAGAAUUCCGCGUGUAGCAGUGAAAUGCGUAGAGAUGCGGAGGAAUACCGAUGGCGAAGGCAGCCCCCUGGGCUAACACUGACGCUCAUGCACGAAAGCGUGGGGAGCAAACAGG